GACGAACGCUGGCGGCGUGCUUAACACAUGCAAGUCGAACGAUGACGACCGAGCUUGCUCGGUCUGAUUAGUGGCGAACGGGUGAGUAACACGUGAGCAACCUGCCCUUCACUCUGGGAUAACCUCGGGAAAUCGGGGCUAAUACCGGAUAUGAGCUCCUGUCGCAUGGCGGGUGUUGGAAAGUUUUUCGGUGAAGGAUGGGCUCGCGGCCUAUCAGUUUGUUGGUGAGGUAGUGGCUCACCAAGGCGAUGACGGGUAGCCGGCCUGAGAGGGCGACCGGCCACACUGGGACUGAGACACGGCCCAGACUCCUACGGGAGGCAGCAGUGGGGAAUAUUGCACAAUGGGCAAAAGCCUGAUGCAGCGACGCCGCGUGGGGGAUGACGGCCUUCGGGUUGUAAACCUCUUUCAGCAGGGAAGAAGCGAAAGUGACGGUACCUGCAGAAGAAGCGCCGGCUAACUACGUG
RNAcentral lists this ribosomal RNA (467 nucleotides) under uncultured bacterium. Its description in RNAcentral is "partial 16S ribosomal RNA". It matches the Rfam family "Bacterial small subunit ribosomal RNA", at positions 28 to 507 of the family's 1533-position model. The record is from RNAcentral.